RNAcentral lists this long non-coding RNA (632 nucleotides) under Fukomys damarensis (Damara mole-rat). RNAcentral describes it as "lncRNA (ENSFDAG00000033284.1)". Lineage: Eukaryota; Metazoa; Chordata; Mammalia; Rodentia; Bathyergidae. The record is from RNAcentral.
UGACGAGCAGCCAGUUGUUGGCAGCCAGGUGGGAGAGGGCUAAGAAGGAACGGAGCAGGGACCCAUAGGAAGGCUCUUCAGCUUGGGGGUGGAGGCCCAGCCUCACGCGGUGCUGGUAGUGGUAGGUGAGGUGCUGCCUUCCCUGCGGGCCCGGUGUGGCUGAGGCUGGCGGGAGGAGGAGAUGUGAGGAGGCAGAGCUAUUCCUGCACUUGCAGAUCUCGGUGUCCACAGAGAGACGUUCUCAACUGACCCUGCCCAGGAAAGGAGGCUGUAGCGUCCCUUUCAGAGCCCGUCGAGGGUGAAAUGUGAGGCCGUCUGGAAGCACAAGCUGCCGGCCUUCAGGGCACAACUUGAGACUUCGUUGACAGAUCCAGAGAACGCAACCUGCCCGGGACGAACCAAGCCACGCACGGAACGGAUUCCACCUGCUAGGUGAACCUUUGCGUCAAAGCAGGCAAAGGAGAAGGCUCCGCAGCCCGGCCUGCUGGGGUCCGACGCCCCCGGCCCUGCUCUGUGCACACAGUACUCCGAGGACCAAGGCCUCUCAGGUGCUCUGCAGGAGUAGGUUCUGGCUAGAGAAGCGCCAUGAUGGGACCAACCUGUGCGGAGAGGGACAGCACAGCAGAGGGGGC